GUAAGCGGGCUGUAAUGAGAGGUGAAAAGAGAAGAAGACUGAAAUUCAAGAUUAUUUGCUGAUGUGGGAUGACAGUCUCAAACAUAUGUCUUCAUUUUCUCCUUGUGCGCUGGACUUCCAUUGUUCUCAUGUCGAUGGAGAGUGUGGAGUGCACCCAGCAUGGGUGGAGACCGACUUUUGUCUUUUUGAAUCACUUGACCAGAUACAAGUUGC
This is a non-coding RNA of Pelobates cultripes (western spadefoot toad), 213 nucleotides long. NCBI's taxonomy places the organism in Eukaryota, Metazoa, Chordata, Amphibia, Anura, Pelobatidae. The record is from the annotation of a GenBank genome assembly.